This is a small nucleolar RNA of Octodon degus (degu), 104 nucleotides long. RefSeq annotates it as small nucleolar RNA U13. The transcript has a single exon. Lineage: Eukaryota; Metazoa; Chordata; Mammalia; Rodentia; Octodontidae. The record is from RefSeq and is a predicted model, not a curated record.
ACUCUUUUGUGGUGCCUAAGUGGUGACUGGUUUUUAUGCCAUUGUGUGAGAUGUGCCUCCCUCAAACCUCAUCCCAUGUGUGUCUGCACAUUACCCAUCUGACA